AAGGAUCACAUAGAUCUUAAACUGAAGAGUUUGAUCAUGGCUCAGAUUGAACGCUGGCGGCAGGCCUAACACAUGCAAGUCGAGCGGUAACAGGGGUAGCUUGCUACCCGCUGACGAGCGGCGGACGGGUGAGUAAUGCAUAGGAAUCUGCCCGAUAGUGGGGGAUAACCUGGGGAAACCCAGGCUAAUACCGCAUACGUCCUACGGGAGAAAGGGGGCUUCGGCUCCCGCUAUUG
RNAcentral lists this ribosomal RNA (236 nucleotides) under Halomonas sp. MG34. RNAcentral's name for it is "partial 16S ribosomal RNA". It matches the Rfam family "Bacterial small subunit ribosomal RNA", at positions 1 to 223 of the family's 1533-position model. The record is from RNAcentral. Lineage: Bacteria; Pseudomonadati; Pseudomonadota; Gammaproteobacteria; Oceanospirillales; Halomonadaceae.